RNAcentral lists this ribosomal RNA (253 nucleotides) under uncultured bacterium. Its description in RNAcentral is "partial 16S ribosomal RNA". It matches the Rfam family "Bacterial small subunit ribosomal RNA", at positions 524 to 776 of the family's 1533-position model. The record is from RNAcentral.
UACGUAGGGUGCAAGCGUUAAUCGGAAUUACUGGGCGUAAAGGGCGCGUAGGCGGCGCAACAAGUCACUUGUGAAAUCUCCGGGCUUAACCCGGAGCGGCCAAGUGAUACUGUCGUGCUAGAGUGCGGAAGGGGCUACUGGAAUUCUCGGUGUAGCGGUGAAAUGCGUAGAUAUCGAGAGGAACACCUGCGGCGAAGGCGGGUAGCUGGGCCGACACUGACGCUGAUGCGCGAAAGCCAGGGGAGCGAACGGG